Non-coding RNA from Oryctolagus cuniculus (rabbit), 15715 nucleotides. NCBI's taxonomy places the organism in Eukaryota, Metazoa, Chordata, Mammalia, Lagomorpha, Leporidae. The record is from RefSeq and is a predicted model, not a curated record.
CGGCCAGCCCUCUACCUGGCCUGGGUCGUAACAACGGAGGGAGGACAGGGCUGCCCGUGCAAGCGGGGCCCCAGGGUCAGAGGAACCGGCCCUUCCUCUUCGGCGGCGGUUUCCGCUCUGCUCCGCCCCGCUCCCGCCCCGCGAGUGCGGAGACUCCGCCUCCCUCGCCCCUCCCCCCACGGGCCCGCGGGCGGAGUUCGCGACCUCGCGUUGUAAUCUGGGCCGCCACCGCGCAGGCGCAGGCCCGUGCCAGAUGGCGGCGGGCAGCCAACGCAGAGGCGUCCGAGGGCGUUGUGUUUUCCUCCCCUGCUACCAACAGUAGGAAGCGUUCUCAUUCAGAGGCGGCUUUCGUUUCACAGUGAGCAUUCAGGUUUAGAGUCGCCGUUGUGCACUGACAGAAGGUAUUGUAGCAUAUUACAGUUGACGAGAACGUCUCAUCGUUCAGUUACCCGAAAAAUAGUAAUGUGAUGGCAAAAGUAAAUCACCUCCCCGUCGGGGAAUUGAACCCCGGUCUCCCGCGUGACAGGCGGGGAUACUAACCACUAUACUAACGAGGAGCUGCUGCUUGCUCCUCCCCCAGGUGUCCCUUCAGGGCUGCACCUGCCACCUGCAAACGUAAACAUCCCAAUUCCAGGCCCUCGCUGGUGCCAUGGAGGCUUCCAGUCCGCUUCCAGUUUCAGGGCUGAAUCGUGCGGCGCUCACCUCCCGGUAGUCGCCUGAGGGCUUCGUGUCACUUGGGGGCGGCACGGCUUCCCCCUCACAGAGCUGUGUUUCUCCGUGUGAGGACCGGCCGUCCACGGCUGAGGCCCGGGCAGCCGCUUCCCGCGCUUGCCGCCGCGCGCCCUGGCCCCGAGGCCUCCCGCGGACGUUUCCGGCUCGGGUGGCCCGGAGCCGGCCGCGGUCUCGGCAGCAGAACCGGCGGGAGUGCGGGAAUGGAUGAGUGACACUCGUCCUAAGUCAGCACCAUCGGUUAAACACAGGGUUGGGAAAGCACAGUUAGAGGGGAAUUUGUCGCCAUCCUAAGCCUGUUUCAUAGACAAGAUCCAGGAGGCCUCCCGUGUGAACUUUUGUCGGUGUCUCUAGUGCGUGUAUGUAGAGUCACAGAUGGCUUCCUCAUUUCCUUUAUAAAGAAAAUACAGCCCUGACCCAGCAGUUUUGAAAUUGAGUUCACCUGGUCCAUGUGGUCGCCAGGUCUUUUGCUUUUUAAAACUGAGGUAAGAAUACUUCACAUAAGUUCUACUCUCAUAACAACUUUUUAAGUGUAAAUGCAUUAUUGUUGACUGCAGGUCUUACAUUGGCUGCUUGGUACUUUUGCUUCACAGUAAUAGCGAGGUUAUAUAGUCACUGAGCAGAUGGCUUGCCUGGAACUCAAGUGCAGAGGAUAGCCUUCCAAAGCUAGUAGCACCACAAAAGCACGGUCCCAGGCACAAUCUAUAAAAGCUUUUCUUGAGUUGGGGAGCUCCCCAUCAGUCUCUGACCUCAAGUCAUGUGCCAGACCUCUUGUGGGGUGUUCCUAUAUCUGUCAUUUCUGUUGCUAGGGCAGAUGAUCUGCUCUGGGGUAUCCCUGCUGUUUGUUUAUGGUGAGAGUUUGUUCUAAUUAGUGGCAACAUUCUUUCUCUUUAGCCAGUGCCUUUGCUGAUAUUAUCAGUAUUAGCCCUUCAUGUUACAACUAAAGUUGUAUUUCUGGCCACCCCAGAUUGCUUCUGAUCUGGAACAAAUAGGCCUGUUGCUUCAGCUCCACUAACUGCUUUACGUUUCUGUUCCAGUUCUGGGCAGUUUGUCAUUUCAUUUUUGAGCAUGAUUGUAAGUUUAAUUUUUUCUUUUGUAUUUUUUAAAAAAGUUAUUUAUAUUUAUUUGCAUGGUGGGGGAGGGGAGAGAUCUUCCAUUCACUGGUUCACUCCUCAAAUACCCAGAAGAGCUAGGGCUGGGCCCGGUUGGGAACUCAAUUCAGGUCUCCAAAUUCAGUGACAGAGAUCCAAGUACUUGAACUAUUAGCUGUUGCCUUGCAGGAUGUGCAUUAGCAGGAUGCUAGACCGGAAGCAGAGUCGAGUCUCAAACCCAGGCACUCACACCCAGACUCUGCAGGAAUGUGCAUGUCUCACAUGGCAUCUUAAUUGUGGUGCCAAUAAAUGCCCCUAUAUUUUAUCUAUUAUGCACAAGAGAAGAGUUGAGGACUUCAAAAUAUGUAUUUAGAAUGCCAGUUGGUGAGAAGUUUCUCAAAAGAUGUGGUCAAGAUGACCAAGACAUAUAUCAAAAUGAUAAAUCAAAAUUGGGAGAGUUGUAAUAUUAUCAAGUUGGUGGAGAACACCAAAAUUUAUUUUAAAAAUAUUACUAAUUGACUAAUUGUAAAGAGAGCUACAAAAUAGAAAAGAUGUUAAAAAGCAAUUCUUUUAAGUAGAUAUAUUUUAAAAUAAUUUUCAGGGCCUGCACUAUGGCCUACUAGGUUAAUUCGCUGCCUGUAGUGCUGAAAUCCCACAUGGGCACCAGUUCAAAUUUCGGCAACUCCACUUCUGAUCCAGCUCCCUGCUACUGAGCCUGGAAAAGCGGCAGAGGAUAGCCCAUGUGCUUGUUUUCCUGAACCCUGGGAGAGACCUAGAGGAAGCUCCUGGCUCCUGGCUUUGGCCUGGCUCAACCCUGGCCAUUGCAGCCACUUUGGGAGUGAACCAGUGGAUGGAAGGUCUCUCUCUCUGUCUCUGCCUUUAAAAAAAAAGUCCUUAAAAAUACAGUGCUUGAGGCAGGCAUUCAGACAAAAAGUGUUUUUUUUUUUUUUGUCAUUCUGUUCGUUUUACUCUUUACUUAGUGUAGGGUUAAAUUUGUGAGUAUAAAAUAAACUGAAAAUAAGUCUUUGUAAAAAUAGAGUGGAAAUAAAAGAGGGAGGAGGAAGAAGGAAUAUGGGUGGGAGGGAGGUUAGGAUGGGAAGUAUCACCAUAUUUCUAAAUCUGUAUAUAUGAAAUACAUGAAACUUAUAUACCUUAAAUAAAUUUGUGUACCUAAAAAAUAAAAUAAAUGAAAAAAAAUUUUGCAGGGCAGAAAUGAAAGACUAUUGGAAAAAUUAUCAAUCAUUGUUGAAACUGGAUAAUUAGUACCUGGGGGUUCAUUCUACUAUUGUCUACUUUUAUGUGCACUUAAUUUCCAUAAUUAAAAGGUAAAAAUUUAGAAGAAAAUAUUAUGCUUGAUUCUAUGCUAUUACAUUUGGAAAUGUUGCUAAUGAAGUUGAUAAUUUUCUGAGAAACUUGUGACUAAAUCUGACUUAAGAAAUGGACAACAUGAAUAGAACAACACUCCUAGAAGAAAUUAUAAAGGAAUUACCCCCAAAAAUGGCUCCAAUAGCUGACUGCUUUAAUUGUGUCUCCAAUAAACGUUUGAGCCUUAUGGUAUGUAUAUUAUGUAGAAAUAAAUGAGAUCAAAUUAAUUCUACAAAAUCAGCACUUUAAAAAAUCUUAAGUGAAUUAAUUUUUCAAAGAUUAUUUAUUUAUUUGAAAAGCAGUGUUACAGAGUGUCGCUCCCCGUCUUCGUGGAGGAACGACACAGGACCCUGCGCUGUUCUUUCGUCUGCUUGGUCCUCCCCGGGUUUGCUGCUGGUUCUUCCCGGGUUGGCUACUGUCCCUUCCACCUCCAUGGAAGGGCGGUUCCCCCUGGCCACUUUCCCCACUUCCGCAGGGGAGCAGCACACCGCCGGCCAGCUCUCUCGGGGACUGCACAGGUGUUCCCCUUAGAUGUUCCUGGUGCAUGUUGUCUCUCUCCUCCUUUAUAGUCCUCUUCCACCAAUCCCAACUCUGCUACCCACACGCCGAGUACGCUGCUCUCCUCCAAUCAGGAGCAGGUCCUACAGUUUAUUGGUUGAACUGGAGGCAGCUGUGUAGAAGCUGUUUCCCUUCUCAGCGCCAUAUUGUGGGAAAGCAGAUGCAUAGAAUAAGUCUUAAUUCCAGUAACUUAGUCCAGUCCGAGUUGCUCCCCACACAGAGAGGCAGAAGCAGAGAGAGAGAGAGAAAGGUCUUUCAUCUGCUGGUUCACUCUCCAAAUGACUACAGUGGCUGGAGCUGUGCCAAUCUGAAGCCAGCAGCCAGGAACUUCUGGUCUUCCACAUGGGUUCAGGGGCCCAAGGACUUGGGCUAUUUUCCACUGCUUUCCCUGGCCAUAGCAGAGAGCUGUAUUGGAAGCAGAGCAGCUGGGAUCCGAAAUAGCAUCUACAUGGGAUACCAGCACUGCAGGCAGUGGCUUUACCCACUUUGCCAUAGUGCCAGCCCCAACCUUUUUUUUUUUACUUUUUAAAAAAAGUUUUAUUUGUUAUAUAAGUUUCAUGUAUUUUGUAUUUACUGAUUUAGGAACAUACUGAUAUUUCCCACCCCACCCUCCUUCCCACCCAUGCUCCAAUCUUGUUCCUCCUCCUCCCAUUCUCCCAUUCUCCCACUCUUAGUUUUUACAAAGACCUACUUUCAGUUUACUUAAUGAUCAUAAAGUUAACCCUACACUAAGUAAGAGUUCAACAAAUAGUAUGAAGGAAAAAAAAUCAUUGUUCCUCAACAGAAGAGACAAGGAUUGUAAACAAUUAUCAAAUCUCAAAGUGUCCAUUUCACUCUAAUUCAUUACAUUUUAGGUACUCUAUUAAUUACCUUGGAUCAGAGCAAAUAUGAUAUCUGUCUUUUGGGGACUGACUUAUUUCACAAAAUGUAAUGGUUUCUAGUUGUAUCCAUUUUUUUUUUUUGCAAGAGACAAGACUUCACUUUUUAUAGCUUAGUAGUAUUCCAUAGUGUAUAUUUACAAUAAUUUUUUUAUCCAGUCAAUAGUUGAUGGACAUCUGGGUUGAUUCCAUAUCUUAGCUAUUGUGAAUUGAUCUGCAGAGAGCAUGGGGGUACACAUAACUCUUUCAUAUGUUGUGUUCUUUUGGUUUGGGGAAAUUCCCAGGAAUGGGAUGGCUGGAUAAUAUGGUAGGUCUAUAUUCGGCUUUCUGAAGUAUCUCCAUACUGUCUUCCACAGUGGCUACACCAGUUUACAUUCCCACCCACAGUGGAUUAGGGUACUUUUUCCCCACAUCCUUGCCAACAUUUGUUGUUUGUUGAUUUCUGUAUAACAACCAUUUUAACUGGAGUGAGGUGAAACCUCAUUGUGGUAUUUUUAUUUUAUUUUAUUUUAUUUUAUUUUAUUUUAUUUUUUUGACAGGCAGAGUGGACAGUGUGAGAGAGAGAGAGAGAAAGGUCUUCCUUUUACCAUUGGUUCACCCUCCAAUGGCCGCUGUGGCCGGCGCACCACGCUGAUCGGAAGGCAGGAGCCAGGUGCUUAUCCUGGUCUCCCAUGUGGGUGCAGGGCCCAAGGACUUGGGCCAUCCUCCACUGCACUCCUGGGCCACAGCAGAGAGCUGGACUGGAAGAGGGGCAACUGGAACAGAAUCUGGCACCCCAACUGGGACUAGAACCCGGGGUGCUGGUGCCGCAGGUGGAGGAUUAGCCUAUUAAGCCGCGGCACUGUCCACAUUGUGGUUUUGAUUUGCAUUUCCCUGACAGCUAGUGAUCCUGACCAUUUUUUCAAAUGUCUGUUGGCCAUUUGAAUUUCCUCUCUUGAAAAAUGCCUGUUCAAUCCCUUGCCCAUUUCUUAACUGGAUUUUUUGUUUUGUUGUUGUUGAAUUUCUUGAGCUCUUUAUAGAUUCUAGAUAUUAACCCUUUAUCAGUUGCAUAGUUUGCCUAAAAUAUUUUCUCCUGUUCUGUCAGUAAUCUCUUCACUUUGUGGAAUGUUCUUUUGCAAUGCAAAAGCUUCUUAACUUGAUGUAAUCCCAUUUGUCAAUUUUUGCUUGGAUUGCCUGUGCUUUUGGUUUUUUUUGUGAGAAGUCUUUGCCUGUGUCAGUGUCUUGCAGAGCUUUCCCAAUGUUCUCUAAAAAUUUGACGGUAUCAGAUUGUAGAUUUAGGUCUUUGAUCGAUUUUGAAUGGACUUUUGAAUCAAUACAAACUUAACACUAUUAUCUGGUGUAGAUCAAAUUUAUGUACAGACAUACAUGAGAAAUUAAGAUAUUAAAUUCAGUUUUAUUCAGUUGAUGAAUCUCUACCUUUUUUUAAAAGAUCUAUUUUUUAUUUAUUUGAAAGGCAGAAUUAGAGAGAGAGAGAGAGAGAGAGAGAGAGAGAGGUCUUCCAUCUGCUGGUUUAUCCUCCAAAUGUCCACAACAGCUGGGAAUGGGCCAGAAUAAAGCCAGGAGCCAGGAGCUUCAUCCUGGUAUCCCACAUGGGUUUCAAAGGCACAAGUGCUUGGGUCAUUUUCUACUGUCGCUCCCUUGCCCGCAAAGGAACGACACUGCUUCCAGCUGAUCGGUCUUCAGUAGACUUUUAUUUAAACAGGAUAGAAAGAGAAACCCUUGAGCAAGGGGAGCUCCGAAAGAAAGGGGAAGCUCCCGUACCAUAUCACAAACAGCUUAUAUAGUAUAGCAUUAUUGAAGCAUGUAAGCAAGCUUAGUCCAUGCUACAGUCCAUGCGGCGGUGCUCCAAUCGGGUGCCUGAUGACGCACAGUCCAUGAGCUCCUUGUCCAACCAUAAAGGUGAUCACGCGCCUUCAUCCAAUCAAGCUCCUGGUCACGUAGCAGGCGACUCGGGUGCUAACAACAAGCUUCCACCUGGUGUUUUCUCAGCCUUGGUCAGUGGGAAAAGAAGCACGGGAAGCCCCAAGGCCAUAGUUGUUUUGACUCUAGGCUGGGGUUAUGAAAUGGUCCCGAUAUCACAGCUCAACAGAAACCACAAACAUCCACACAGCAGUAACUAAUGCCAGUGGUCAGCAAGCCAAGCCUUAGCAUGUGGGCCCAUGGCCAGCCAUGGGUCCCCACAUUCUACUUUGUCCCAUACAUUAGCAGAGAGCUGGUUCAGAAGUGGAGUAACUGGGAUUCAAAGUGUAACCCAUAUGAGAUGCUGGCACUGCAGGUGGCGGCUUAACCUGCUAUGCCACAAUGCUGGGCCUGAUCAAUCUCUACUUAAAAAGAAUUCAUCAUUUCUCCUGUAAAACGCAUUAACUAAUGUGCACAAAAGGAUAAAUAUUCACAGAUGAUUUGCUCCAGUGUAUCCUGGAGUGUCUGUUUUUGUAAAAGUUUUCCAAACCAGUUUUUAUUCAUUUUACAUAUUACUGCAUUUAUGUAUUCUAAGUGAAUAUUUAUAGAAACUUGUGAAAUGUGUGUGUGGAAAAAGAAUUGUUCCUAUGAAACUAAAUUGAAGGUAUUGGAAUAACUCAAUGCACUAAACAAUUAGAUGAGGAUAAAAAAAGUAAACUUUGGGAAAAAGUCACAAAAAUAUAGAAGAAUUUUGCCCUUAUAUUGCUUUAUGAUCAAGUUAAAAUGAUCUUUAAAGAACGUAAAUGGGAAGGGCUAGCACUUUGGCAUAGCGGGUAAAGCCACUGCCUACAGUGCCGGCAUCCCAUAUGGGUGCUGGUUUCAGUCCCAGCUGCUCCACUUCCCAUCCAGCUUUUUGCUAAGAUCUGGGCAAGCCAUAGAAGAUGCCCAGAUCCUUGGGCUCCUGCAUCCAUGUGAGAGACUUGGAAGAAGCUCCUGGCUCCUGGCUUUGGAUUGGACCAGCUCCAGCUAUUGCAGUCAUUUGGGGAGUGAACCAGUGGAUGGAAGACUUCUCUCUCUUUCUGACUCUCUGUACCUCUUUCUUUCUCCCUUCCUCCCUUCCUCUCUCUCUUUCUCUCUCUUUCUCUCAAUAUUUAUUUAUUUAUUUGAAAGGCAGAGUUACACAAAGAGAGAAGGAGAGGCAGAGAGAGAGAGGUCUUCCAUCUUCUGGCUCACUCUCCAAUUGGCCUCAAUGUCUGGAACUGUGCCAGUCCGAAGCCAGGAGCCAGGAGCUUCUUCUGGGUCUCCCACAUGGGUACAGGGGGCCCAAGGACUUGGGUCAUCUUCUACUGCUUUCCCAGGCCAUAGCAGAGAGCUUGAUCAGAACUUGAAACCGGCGCCCAUAUGGGAUGCUGGCAUUGCAGGUGGUGAUUUUACCCACCUCGCCACAGGGCCUGCCCCACCUCUGCCUUUCAAAUAAAUAAAUAAAUAAAUAAAGUUUAAAAAAGAAAGUAAAUGAGAAAUAGCAAUACAUUAGGGGUUUGAUUUAAGUAAGACGACAGAUGAUAUAGAAUUCUAAUAUGUAAACUGAUACUGAAAGACAAGACUUUUUCCUAUAAAUUAGUUAAAAGACUUAACUAGUUAGUUAAGGUAACACUAAUUGUAUUAUUGAGCAUGCUAUAUAUGGACACCUUCGAAAUCUCUGUCUUACCUGUGGGGAGCAACUGAGACUAGGCUAAGUUACUGGAAUUAAGAUCUAUUCUAUGCAUCUGCUCUCCCACGAUAUAGCGCUGGGGAGGAGGAAACUUCUACGCAGCUGCCUCUCACCAGCUUGACAAACUGCGGGAGCUGAUCCUGCUCCUGAUUGGAGGAGAGCAGCGUGCUCAGCGUGUGGGUAGCAGAGCACGGAUUGGUGGAGAGGACUAUAUAGGAGGAGAGAGACGGCAUGGUGGUGUGGGUUGGUUGGAGAGUGUGUUGGAGAGUUCGCGGGGAAGUUCGUUGCUUCGUUCUUUCUCAUUUCUCUCUACUCAUUCUUGCUUUGGGAGUUCGCUGUUUGCUUAUUCUUACUUUACUAUAGAAAAGACUUGUAAAAAAGGGGAACAACGAGCGUCCGGUCCGGUGCGGCUCCUCCGCGUGUGGAGGAGCAGCAAAUGGUGCCGUGACUUGGAUAGGAAACCUAGGAGGGAAGAAGCGGGAAGAAGCGGGAAAAUACCGGAGAGAGAGACUAGCAAAGAGCCUAGGGAAAGCCGGAUGGAAAAGGUGCCGAAAGAAGCUAUCGAAAGCCUAGGUAUAGACUUGGAUACGGACUGUGGGGAGAGGCCAGGAGAAAUGAGAGGGGAAUAUUGUUGGAAGAAAAGUUAGGGAAACAUACUGGGUAGAGAGAAAUAUGUUAGGGAGGAUGAAGCUACAGGGGCCGGCUGAGGCGGAGACGUAAGCUAGCUUGGGAUUCGUCAAGUCAGCCCAGGGAGCAAAAGGCGAAAAGCUAAACCAGAGGCGGAGACGCGUAAGCCAGGUUGGAAUCCAUCAGAUUAGCCCAGGGAGCAAAAGACGGGAAGCCAAACCGGGAGCGGAGACGUAAGCUAUAGGUUGCAUUUCACCAGGUUAGCCCGGGGAACUUAGACUGAAUACCAGUGGCGGAAACGUGAGCUAGGCUGUGUGACUCGCGGAAGCCGCCGCGCGCAGAGAGAGCGCGCGGGACACGAACGGGGAGAGUGCACGGGGCGCGAAUAGAUAGGGAACGUGGGGCUAGUGCGAAGGCCGUGGUGCGGGCGCAAAGGGCGCGGAGACCGCGGAGUGUGCGAAGCCAGGAAGCCACGCAGAGCCGGGAAGCCGCUGCGGGGCAAGGCGCCGAGAAGCAGCCUCGGGGCGGGCGCCAGGAAGCUGCGGGGAUAAGAGAAACAGAAGUUUAGAGGUAAAAUGAGAGAAAUAGGAAUGCUGGCAGAUAGAAGUAAAAUAGGAGAGAUAGGAAUGCCCGGAGGUAGAGAAAUAGAGAAAAAUAAGGCCUCCCCACAACACAGCAAUGAGAGGGCUUGGAUUCAGUCUGCCUGAUUAGUAAGAUGAUAAGCACCUGUGGGCGGCUGCAGGUCACCGAAGACAGGCACGUUAUCAACACCAAUAAGUCUCCCCACAAGAUGGCAAUGAGAAGGCUUGGAUUCGGUUUGCCUGAUUGGUAGGGCUUGUAAGCACCUGCAGGCAGUUCUAGCAGAGUAUAGCAUGUGCUGCAGGGCACCGAACACAGGCACGCAUCAGCACCUAAAAACCUCCUCACAACAUGGUGAAGAGAGGACCCGGAUUUGGUUUGCCUGAUUGGUAGGGCUUGUAAGCACCUGUGGGCAACUCUAGCAAGCAGAGCAGAGUGUGCGCCGCGGGGCACCAAAGACAGGCGUGUAUCAAUGCCAAAAAUAAAAAGAAAGGGGGAUCUGUGGGGAGCAACUGGGAGCAACUCGGACUAGACUAAGUUACUGGAAUUAAGACUUAUUCUAUGCAUCUGCUCUCCCACAAUAUGGCUCUGAGAAGGGAGUAACAACUUCUACGCAGCUGCCUCUCGCUAACUUGAGUGAUGACCUGCAGGAGCUGAUCCUGCUCCUGAUUGGAGGAGAGCAGCGUACUCGGCGUGUGGGUAGCAGAGUUGGGAUUGGUGGAAGAGGACUAUAAAGGAGGAGAGAGACAACAUGCACCAGGAACAUCUAAAGGGAACACCUGAGCAGCCCCCGAGAGAGCUGGACUGGAAGAGGAGCAUCCGUGACAGAAUCCGGCGCCCCGACUAGGGCUAGAACCCAGGGUGCUGGCGCCGCAGGUGGAGGAUUAGCCUAGUGAGCCGUGGUGCUGGCCUGUGCCAGAUUCUGAUGAAGCACAAAGCUCUCUCACCAGAUGCAGCUUCUUGAUCUUGGACUUCUGUUCUCCAGAACUGUGAGUUUAACUUUCCUUUGUAAAUUACUCAAUCUGUGGCUUUCUGUUAAAACAAGAAGCAACUAAGACAUAUGGGUUGCUCGGUCAAAGGCUGACUAGAACUCAGGAUCUGUCUUAACUCCCAGUUGGAGGGGCAGGGUCCAAACCGCAGCUUCUCAUGUUACUUGGGGCUUCCUGUCCCUGGUGAGGUACGGUGGCAGUGGCUCCAGAGUCUCAUGUGUUGAGGGACUGGCAUUCUAAAUAAUUCCUGUGACUAGCUGGCACCACCAAAACAGACUUUUGGGCAUGCUGAUAAGGCUUUUCUUUCAUACUUGUUUUGUGAGAAGGAAGGCAUUCAGCAUGCCUCUCACUGCACUGUGGGAAUGACUAGGAGGUCUCGUGAAGCUGACUCUGGCCUUGAAAAUUUCAUUUUCCAAUUAACAGUAUUACUUACACAUACCAUGUAAUGUGAAUUGAAAAAGUGUUUGUUUAUUUUUCACUUGCGUAAAAGGGAGAGAGAGAGAGAUUGAUUGAUUCUCUCCACUGGUUUACUUCCCAAAUAUUCACAACAACCAAGGCUGGGCCAAGCUUAAGCCAGGAGCCCGGAAGCACAUGUGCCUCUUCCACAUAGGUGGAAGGGACUCAAAUGCUUGAGCCAUCAUAUGCUACCUCCCAGGAUGCAUUAGCAAUUAGUUGGAUAGGAACCAGAGGAGAUGGGAUUUAAAGCAGCUACUGGGGCAGUUGUCAUAGGCAGAUGUUAACCUGUUGAGAAACAGUGUCUGGCUCAUUGUGUGAAAUUUCACUCCUAGAUAGAGACCACAAACAGAACAUUGUGCACACACAGACACACAAACACAUACACAUAAGAUUAACAAAAUGAUAUACUCAGUGUUGAUGAGGGGCAGGUGAUGGACACUCUCAUCUUGUCAGACUAAAACUAAUAACAACCUUUUGCAGAAGUAAUUUAUGAUGUGUUUAAAGGGUUUUCAGUGCAUCAUUUUUUUUAAGAAAUGGGAAUAUACUUAUUAAUAAAUGUCACAAUACCAGGGAAAUUCAACAAGAGUACUUAGAACAGAAAACAUUUUGGCUGCAACAUUAGGGUAAAGGAAAUGCAUACUAUCCAUUUUUUUCUUGCACUGGAGACUCUAGAACUUAAAUACCUACAUAGUUAUUGGCAACUUAGGUGCAAAAUCCAGGGAACAACAGAAAAUCUGUCAGUCCCCAAUAGUGAUGUUAAUGGAAAUCUUUAAAUAUACUUCUUCCUUGGAGGACUGAAACUGCAGUCUAAAUCUGUAACAUGGUUCUGAACAAUGAGGCCAUCUGGUGGCCACUUAGAAAGUUUCCAAUUUCUGACUCCUGGGAUUGCAUUUCUAGUGCUUUGCCCCUCAGGCCUUGAAAAGGAAGCUGCAGCACAGUUGUGAGGACUUUGGUAUUUCCUGAAAGAAACCUUCUGGAAGGAGUCCAAGAUUCAGCUGCCUACUCCACAUUCCAUUUUAUGUGGGCUGGUCAGUGUCGCAGAGGGAUUGCAUGCUAUGUGCUUUAUCUAUGUGUCUAUGUCUAGCUUGUUACCUGCUCAGAGUUGGGCUCAUAUGUGAAUUACCUCAUUCUAGUGGAAAGUCUUAAAACAGAUUCUGCUGGAAACAUUUAACCUGGGGUGCUGUGGCCAGAAGCACGACCAGGCUGGAAGGAUAGUACAUAGAUAGAUAAAUAUAUUUUUGGACAUUUAUAGUGUCAGCUUUUAUUUAUUUAUUUAUAGGUUAUUUAUAAAUAAUAUGAUCAGUUUCCAGAACACAUAUGAGGGUGUGUCAAAAAGUUAAUUGAAAAUGAAAUUAGGGGCUGGUGCUGUGGCUCACUUGGUUAAUCCUCUGCCUGCAGUGCUGGCAUCCCAUAUGGGCGCCGGUUCUAGUCCCAAUUGCUCCUCUUCCAGUCCAGCUCUCUGCUGUGGCCUGGGAGGGCAGUGGAGGAUGGCCCAAGUGCAUAGGCCCCUGAACCCACAUGGGAGACAAGGAGGAAGCACCUGGCUCCUGGCUUUGGAACGGUGUAGUUCUGGCCAUAGCGGCCAUUUGGGGGGUAAACCAAUGGAAGGAAGACCUUUCUCUGUCUCUCUCUCUCACUGUCUAACUCUGUCAAAUAAAAAAAAAAAGAAAAUGAAAUUAAAAGAUGAAUUUAUGUUUGUGCAAAAAACUUGAAAUACAUGUCUAUGAGGGAGUCUUCAAAAUGUUUAUGGUGGAAAAAUGAGUAUUUUGAAAAAAUUAUGCAUACCUUUCAGUUUUUUGUGCCAAAAUAAAUAAAUUUUUUGAAGUAUCUUUGUAUUAACUCUUGUGGGAUGAAAGAUUAUUAAGAUUAUUAAGAUGUGGGGAAGACCAGUUAAGUCAUGUUUUGUAAGAAUUUUUCCUUGGAUGAAGCUCUGGACAAAGAUGAGAGUACUUGACUUCUGACAUGAGUUAUGAUAAAUUUAUCUUUGGUUAGCACAGAUUUUCAAAUACUUGGAAUAUCUUUUUGAUGAUUUUAUUUCUCCAUGUUGCAAAAUUACAACUCCUUCUUGACUCUUUCUUUACAUUGUGAAUUAACUUUAUAAAUGUAAUCUCUUUUCAAUCACUCCUAAGUGUAUGAAAGAUAAUUUUUCUUUUCAAUUCUCAGCUUCUCUUACUUUUCUGUUUAUUUCCUCCUUUGAAUUAAAAAAUGUAAAAUUUCCUUAUAGAUUAGAGAAAGAAAAUCCACAAAGCAUGUUUUGAGCAAAGUGCUUUUCUCCAUUUUUCAGUCACUUAAACUUUCUUGGACUAUCAUUUUUGGGAAAUACUGCUUGAGUAACUAUGUGAAUUAUGAAACAAAUGCAGACCUGUUCUUUGGCAACUUUGAGCUUGUGCAGGGAGAUAGAUCAAAGCAGCCGGAAGAAAAACAAAGACCAAAGAGAACUGGAACACAUCGAGAAUCUGUCUGAGAAAUCUCACACAAACUUUAGAAGGUUGAACUGUAAUACCCACAGCUGACGCUUAUCUAGUUAUUUCGUUUCUAAAGCCCUUUUAUACUGUUUGCUUAAGACCACCCUAACAGAAGGACAGAGCAGGCAUUGUUGUUUUAUUUUUACAAAGGAUUGCUAAGGAGAGACUGCUCUGCUUGAGACAAUGUACCCUGUGAGUGCGAGAACUGGUUUUUGAAUCUGGCUCUCUGGGCCCCCUGCUUUGCUCACCCUGGAAAGUUUUCGUGUCCACAUCCCUUCAGCCGGUUCAGACUCCAGGCUGUUGAUUUGCAUUCCUGGUCUUCUUCCAGCCCCACACACUCCAUCUGCAUACUACAAAUGCUUUCUUCGUGGAAGAAUUCCAGGCAGGGAAAUAUUUUGGUACUAGUCUGAGUUAAAUACCAAAACCCUGUUUGUAAUUUCUGCUCAGACUGUGACACUGAGAGAAUUCCAGAGUGACAAGUGUGAGUCUAUUUGGUGACUCGUGGUGGGGGCAAGGAGUAAAGGGAUAAAGAGGAGACAAGGGAAGUUAGAAUUAUCUACAUCCAAUAGAGCCCAGCUGUCUGGAUUUAAGCUGAGCUGAUACUCAGGAGGGAGAACUGAACUGAGAACUGUGGGUCAGAUUUCAGUGGUUCCACCUCAAAUGGGAUUUUCUCAUUGGUCUGGCAAAGGCUGUGCUGGAUUCAAAGUGAAAUUAAACUGUGCUUUAUUUAACAUAGAAUUAUUCAUAGGUGUUUAAAUCCAGUUCAAAAUUGAUCCCAGUAAAAAAUAAGAGUGAGAAUAAGAGGGAGGAGAUACACAGUUUGGCACAUUCCCACGGACUUACCCAUAAGGGUAAAGCCAUGGGACUCCAAAUCCCAUUAAGCUGGGUGGUAAUAAUGCCAUCUUACUAGUUAAAGUGAUCAGUUUAAGUGUGUAACUGAUCAUAUAAAUAGGAAUAAGUGUCAAAGGGAUCACAUAAAUAUUACCAAGUGUCCACUAAUAACAAUAGGUAGAAUUAAAAAGGAGAGAAUGAUCUAACAUGGGAAGCAGGCCACACAGCAGACUCAUAGAAUGACAAAUGCCCUAAAUAGCCCUCUGACCUCAGAAUCAGCCCUUAAGGCAUUUGGAUCUGGCUAAAAAGCUCAUGAGAGCAUUUCAGGCAUGGAAAGCCAAAACACUGUGGCAAAAAUGACCUACAUGAAGGAUCUCUGUGAGUGAGAUCCCAGUGGAAAGAAGGGGCCAUUGAAGAAGGUUUUCUCUGAAGGGAGGAGAGAACUUCCACUUUGCUUAUGGCCCUGCCUAAAUACUGACAGAGUUUGUGUAUCAAAAGGCUUCCAUAGUCUUGGUAGCUCAUGUCAAGAGCAUCGGGUGGUCACUGUUAAUUGUUAACUCAACAACAGGAGUCACUGUGCACUUACUCCCCAUGUAGGAUCUCUGUCCUUAAUGAGUUGUACUAUGAGAAUUAACGGUAAAACUUGUUUUCAAACAGUAUUUUAUAUUUUGUCUGUAUAGGUGCAGACUGUUGAAAUCUUUACUUAGUAUAGAGUUGGUCUUCUUUAUAUAAAGAUAAUUAAAAAUGAAUCUUGGGGCCAGUGCCGUGGCUCACUUGGUUAAUCCUCCGCUUGUGGCACCAGCAUCCCAUAUGGUCUCUGAGUUCUAGUUCUGAUUGCUCCUCUUCCAGUCCAGCUCUCUGCUGUGGCCUGGGAAGGCAGUGGAGAAUGGCCCAAGUGCUUGGGCCCCUGAACCCACAUGGGAGACCAGGAGGAAGCACCUGGCUUCUGGCUUCAGAUCGGCGUAGCUCUGGCCGUAGCGGCCAUUUGGGAGUGAACCAACGGAAGGAAGACUGUUAGGAAACUGGCGUAGUUUUGUCUAUGGCUCAAUCUACACCCUGAUUUACAUCCUAUGCCCCGGUUCCCGCCACCAUUGCUGAAAUCCAGGUAGCCACAUGGCCCAAGUACCUGUGCCAAGCUCCACCCCCAUCCUAAUGGGAUUUGCUGCUCCUGCUUCCCUGCCCGCCCUCCGGCAAAGUUUUAAAAGGACCUGUUCCUGAACAGGUGGCUCUCUUGGCUCCUCUCUUCUGCUCUCCUCUCCUCCUCUCGUCUCUCUUCUCUCUGUUCUCUCUUCUCUCCUCACUAGCUCCUCUCCUCUGUCUCUCUCUCUUAUACUCUUUCUCUCUCUUAUCCUUCUUCGUCCCUCCCCUCCAGUAUGCUGGGUUUUCCCCAAUAAACUCUUUCCCUUACUCUGGUGUUUGGUGUGCUUUGUGACGGGCUAACAAAGACCUUUCUCUCUGUCACUCUCAUUGUCUGUAACUCUACCUGUCAAACACAUAAAUAAAAAUCUUUAAAAAAUGAAUCUUAAUAAAGAAUGGG